This is a long non-coding RNA of Adelges cooleyi (spruce gall adelgid), 1128 nucleotides long. RefSeq lists it as uncharacterized. The transcript has 3 exons. The record is from RefSeq and is a predicted model, not a curated record. Lineage: Eukaryota; Metazoa; Arthropoda; Insecta; Hemiptera; Adelgidae.
AUAGCAAUAAUAAUUAUUGUAGUACCGACAUACAUUAUUUUUGUAUUAUGUGUUGCAGUUAUAUUAUUACGGACGGCAAUAACGGGUUCGAAGACAAAGUCGGGGAAUUGAAAAAUAUUAGAUUCGUGUGUUCUGUGAUAUUAUACAAGUCCAAUUUGGAUGGCCUGAAUAAUAUUUAAAGGUAUGAAAUGCUGACAUUUGAGCUGAAGGUGCUGAUCCGAACACACUGCCCCGAAUCGGGCCUUUGGUCAAAGACAAAAUAUGUAUUUUUGUUUCGUUUCUUUCAAAGGGGUUUCAUCAAGUGGAAUCGUCCUGGUCGACGGAUACAGCAGCUGGCACAGUGGUCAGUUUACAAACGGCCGGUUGACCUGCUUCGGUGUGGCCCAAUUUCUGACACGUGACAGACUCCAGAGGGAUGUUCCAAAGGCCGGCGUGCAAAGCCCUGAAACCCGGAUAGAAGUCGCAGUCGCACCAGCCCAUGAAAUCGUCCGUGUCCACGUAGUACAGCUGAACGCCUAGUAUAUCCAAAAACCUCAUGGCGUAGCCCUGCGGAUAAGUAAACAUCGGUUAAGUACACCGGCACGCGCAGUCAAUGAAGUUUCCUCGAGUUCUUCGAGGAAGAACAGUUAUUAUGAAUCAUGAAAUAUAACAUAACGUUUUAUGGCACCCAGCCACUGUUAAUCUUGAUGACUGAACGUUUCACACAAUUCACCUGUUUGCACAGAUAACUAGAUUGCCAAGUGUACGUGCCGCCAAUUAAGAUAAUUGAAGUUACCAUUUUCCGCAAUACUAACUAUUUUUUUAUCAAUACCAAUUCCACCAGCUGAUAAGAAACUGGUCAUAGACAUUGGUGAUUUGUGCAAUUUGGUAAAACUAGUAGCGACCCUUAUUAUUUACACACACACACACAUAAAUCCCACAAAAAUGGCGGACGUCGACUUCUAUUUUUAUCACAAGUUAGCAAUCUAGUUUAUUAUAUUGCGGUUAGGAUAGUGAUAAGAGAUAAGGAAUAGUGAUAAGGAGGCGUGAUUAAAGAUAAAAAUAGGUGAUAAUGAUAUUGAUGUGGCUCAAAAGUGUGUUGCAAAUUUUGACAUCGCCCUUAGCCAUAAAAUAUGAAAAACUUACACU